GAUGAACGCUGGCGGCGUGCCUAAUACAUGCAAGUCGAGCGAAGCGGGGACGGGUGAGAAUAACGUGUAAAACAUCCUAUUAGACUGGGAUAACUUCGUUGGACAGGAACUAUACCGCAAACGUAUAGAUUGAUCCACGCUGCAUUAUCUAGUUGGUAAGGUAACGGCUUACCAAGGCAACGAUGCAUAGCCGACCUGAGAGGGGGAUCGGCCACACUGGAACUGAGACACGGUCCAGACUCCUACGGGAGGCAGCAGUAGGGAAUCUUCCGCAAUGGGCGAAAGCCUGACGGAGCAACACCGCGUGAGUGAUGAAGGUCUUCGGAUCGUAAAACUCUGUUAUUAGGGAAGCGGUACCUAAUCAGAAAGCCACGGCUAACUACGGGCCAGCAGCCGCGGUAAUAC
RNAcentral lists this ribosomal RNA (405 nucleotides) under uncultured bacterium. RNAcentral describes it as "partial 16S ribosomal RNA". It matches the Rfam family "Bacterial small subunit ribosomal RNA", at positions 28 to 526 of the family's 1533-position model. The record is from RNAcentral.